GUUGAACGCUGGCGGUGUGCCUAAUACAUGCAAGUCGAGCGAACAGACGAGGAGCUUACUCCUCUGACGUUAGCGGCGGACGGGUGAGUAACACGUGGAUAACCUACCUAUAAGACUGGGAUAACUUCGGGAAACCGGAGCUAAUACCGGAUAACAUGUUGAACCGCAUGGUUCAACAGUGAAAGACGGUCUUGCUGUCACUUAUAGAUGGAUCCGCGUCGCAUUAGCUAGUUGGUAAGGUAACGGCUUACCAAGGCAACGAUGCGUAGCCGACCUGAGAGGGUGAUCGGCCACACUGGAACUGAGACACGGUCCAGACUCCUACGGGAGGCAGCAGUAGGGAAUCUUCCGCAAUGGGCGAAAGCCUGACGGAGCAACGCCGCGUGAGUGAAGAAGGUCUUCGGAUCGUAAAACUCUGUUAUUAGGGAAGAACAAAUGUGUAAGUAACUAUGCACGUCUUGACGGUACCUAAUCAGAAAGCCACGGCUAACUACGUG
RNAcentral lists this ribosomal RNA (497 nucleotides) under uncultured bacterium. Its description in RNAcentral is "partial 16S ribosomal RNA". It matches the Rfam family "Bacterial small subunit ribosomal RNA", at positions 28 to 507 of the family's 1533-position model. The record is from RNAcentral.